Molecule: transfer RNA, 72 nt
Filed under: Cyanidiococcus yangmingshanensis
Lineage: Eukaryota; Rhodophyta; Bangiophyceae; Cyanidiales; Cyanidiaceae
Description: tRNA-Gly
Rfam family: tRNA
About the family: Transfer RNA (tRNA) molecules are approximately 80 nucleotides in length.
Source: RNAcentral
ACGGAUAUAGAUUUAAAGGUAAAUCAUCUAUCUUCCAAGUAGAAAUUAUGGGUUCAAAUCCCAUUAUCCGUA